UUAUAAUUAAUUAUUUUAAAAAUAAAAUUUUUAUAAGUUUUAAUUUUUUAUUAAAAUAAUAGUUAAAAUUUUUUUAAUUAUGAAUUUAUGAUAAAAUUAGUAUAAUUUUUUGUAAAAUUAUUAAUUUUAUAAAAUUAAAUUAAGGAAUUCGGCAAAUAAUUUUUUACCUGUUUAUUAAAAACAUGGCUUUUUGAUUAUAAUUUUAAGUCUGACCUGCCCACUGAAUUUUAAAUGGCCGCAGUAUUUUGACUGUGCAAAGGUAGCAUAAUAAUUAGUUUUUUAAUUGAAAGCUGGAAUGAAGGGUUUUAUAAAAAAAUUACUGUCUCAAUUUAAAUAUUUAAAAUUUUAUUUUUAAGUUAAAAAGCUUAAAUUAUUUUAAAAGACGAGAAGACCCCAUAGAACUUAAUAAAGUUAUUUAUUUAAGGUAUUUAGUAUAGAAAAUUUUAAAUUUAUAAGUUUAUUUUAUUGGGGUGAUAGAAAAAUUUAAUAAACUUUUUUUAUUUUAGAUCAUUUAUUUAUGAUUUUAUGAUCCUAAUAUUUAGAUUAAAAGAAAGAGUUACCUUGGGGAUAACAGCGUUAUUUUUUUAGAGAGUUCAAAUCGAAAAAAAAGAUUGCGACCUCGAUGUUGGAUUAAAAUUAAUUUUUGGUGUAGAAGCUAAUAUAUUUGGUCUGUUCGACCAUUAAAAUUUUACAUGAUCUGAGUUUAAACCGGUGUAAGCCAGGUUGGUUUCUAUCUUUAAUAAGUUAAAAUAUUUUAGUACGAAAGGACCAAAUAUUAAAUAAAUUAUUUCUAAAUUGAAUAUUAAU
Molecule: ribosomal RNA, 807 nt
Filed under: Cucujoidea sp. 3 KM-2017
Lineage: Eukaryota; Metazoa; Arthropoda; Insecta; Coleoptera
Description: partial 16S ribosomal RNA
Rfam family: Bacterial large subunit ribosomal RNA (bases 567-725)
Source: RNAcentral